This 72-nucleotide transfer RNA is filed under the name Camelus bactrianus (Bactrian camel). It matches the Rfam family "tRNA". From Rfam's summary of the family: Transfer RNA (tRNA) molecules are approximately 80 nucleotides in length. Their secondary structure includes four short double-helical elements and three loops (D, anti-codon, and T loops). The record is from Rfam by way of RNAcentral. RNAcentral also lists the same sequence under 2 other names. Lineage: Eukaryota; Metazoa; Chordata; Mammalia; Artiodactyla; Camelidae.
GUGAAUAUAGCUCAGUGGUAGAGCACAUGCUUAGCAUGCACGAGGUCCUGGGUUCAAGCCUCAGUACCUCCA